Molecule: ribosomal RNA, 497 nt
Filed under: uncultured bacterium
Lineage: Bacteria
Description: partial 16S ribosomal RNA
Rfam family: Bacterial small subunit ribosomal RNA
Source: RNAcentral
GAUGAACGCUGGCGGCGUGCCUAAUACAUGCAAGUCGAGCGAACAGACGAGGAGCUUGCUCCUCUGACGUUAGCGGCGGACGGGUGAGUAACACGUGGAUAACCUACCUAUAAGACUGGGAUAACUUCGGGAAACCGGAGCUAAUACCGGAUAAUAUAUUGAACCGCAUGGUUCAAUAGUGAAAGACGGUUUUGCUGUCACUUAUAGAUGGAUCCGCGCUGCAUUAGCUAGUUGGUAAGGUAACGGCUUACCAAGGCAACGAUGCGUAGCCGACCUGAGAGGGUGAUCGGCCACACUGGAACUGAGACACGGUCCAGACUCCUACGGGAGGCCGCAGUAGGGAAUCUUCCGCAAUGGGCGAAAGCCUGACGGAGCAACGCCGCGUGAGUGAUGAAGGUCUUCGGAUCGUAAAACUCUGUUAUUAGGGAAGAACAAAUGUGUAAGUAACUAUGCACGUCUUGACGGUACCUAAUCAGAAAGCCACGGCUAACUACGUG